RNAcentral lists this ribosomal RNA (301 nucleotides) under uncultured bacterium. RNAcentral describes it as "partial 16S ribosomal RNA". It matches the Rfam family "Bacterial small subunit ribosomal RNA", at positions 509 to 807 of the family's 1533-position model. The record is from RNAcentral.
CAGCAGCCGCGGGAAUACAGAGGGUGCGAGCGUUAAUCGGAUUUACUGGGCGUAAAGCGUGCGUAGGCGGCUAAUUGAGUCGGAUGUGAAAUCCCCGAGCUUAACUUGGGAAUUGCAUUCGAUACUGGUUAGCUAGAGUGUGGGAGAGGAUGGUAGAAUUCCAGGUGUAGCGGUGAAAUGCGUAGAGAUCUGGAGGAAUACCGAUGGCGAAGGCAGCCAUCUGGCCUAACACUGACGCUGAGGUACGAAAGCAUGGGGAGCAAACAGGAUUAGAGACCCCAGUAGUCCCUGUCUCUUAUAC